Rhinichthys klamathensis goyatoka is the source of this 434-nucleotide long non-coding RNA. RefSeq lists it as uncharacterized. The transcript is spliced from 3 exons. NCBI's taxonomy places the organism in Eukaryota, Metazoa, Chordata, Actinopteri, Cypriniformes, Leuciscidae. The record is from RefSeq and is a predicted model, not a curated record.
CGCACUGCAGCUGAUGUUCUGAUGCCUUCUCUCGGCUCCGGUUCGGCUGAGGUUCGGCUGAUGUGGGUCAAAUGUAACCAGAGGAAGAUUCAUUCGGGCUCGUGCAUGUAGGACAGACACACAGAACCGAGCGGGCGCGCGCAGCAUCUGUCCUCGUGCACGCGCACAGAAUGCCGAACGAGCAUCACCUUUGUCGUCGGUUCUGCCCUGAGGAAUAACGGGAAUAACGACACACCGACAGAUGGAGGAAUGAUCGGUACCGGCCCGGUGUUUGACCAUGAGCUGGACCGACGGCGCGGAGAGCGCGUGCAGGGAUUUCGUUGUGGAUGGAGAGGGAAAUGUGUGCAGAGCUACUGGUUACAUGACGGAUUGUCUGAGUGAAGACACUGAUAAAGUUCCUCUUCAAACACACACUCUGAAAGAGUUUGAACAGG